CAGUCGCCGCGGUAAUACGAAGGGUGCAAGCGUUAUCCGGAUUCACUGGGUUUAAAGGGUGCGUAGGCGGGCAGGUAAGUCAGUGGUGAAAUCUUCGAGCUUAACUCGGAAACUGCCGUUGAUACUAUCUGUCUUGAAUAACGUUGAGGUGAGCGGAAUAUGUCAUGUAGCGGUGAAAUGCUUAGAUAUGACAUAGAACACCGAUUGCGAAGGCAGCUCACUAAACGCUCAUUGACGCUGAGGCACGAAAGCGUGGGGAUCAAACAGGAUUAGAGACUCGCGUAGUCCCUGUCUCUUAUAC
RNAcentral lists this ribosomal RNA (301 nucleotides) under uncultured bacterium. RNAcentral describes it as "partial 16S ribosomal RNA". It matches the Rfam family "Bacterial small subunit ribosomal RNA", at positions 509 to 807 of the family's 1533-position model. The record is from RNAcentral.